CGCAGGAGGCGGAGCGGAAGGAAGCGGUUCAACCGCCGUCGCUAGUCUCUCACCCAGAUCUUCCUAAAUGCUGGGGCCUCUCUAGUCCCUUGCUGUCUUCCGCUGGAUCUCAAAGCCGCUGAGGCGCCUGUCGCCUCAGCUGAAUGGAGGAUGCGCAGUGGCAUCCUAUGCGAAGGCUAGAAGGGCAAAGGACGCUUUAGGUUCCUGUGGCACCUGCUGACUGUGAGCGCUAUCUGUGCUGCUGCCUUCUCGCAGGCAGGGUAACAGGACUUUUGAGAACUUGGAAGAUGCAAGAACUCUUAAAUGGCUUCAUUUGCAGUCUUUGAGGGAAUCAUUUGCGGGGUGCUUCACUUAUGAGUACUUCAGGGCUGGCCAGGGAGCACCCUUACCUCUGGCUUUGUGUCUUCAGUUCUUUCAAGGUGGGAGUGAUUUCCUGCAGCAUUUCAACAUGCUCUUGACUUCGAACCUGACCCAUGGCCUGGACUAGUGUGAACAGAACCGUCUGAAUGUUGUCUUGCCACGAUUUGUAUUCAGCCAGGAACUGCCUGACACUGCUCUCAUAGGGAAUAUCUUCAGCAUCUGCCAGAGCAGCCUCUUCGUCCUGCCACCAAUGCAGACAUAGACCACUGAAACAGACUUACUUGUUCCAGCAAUUCCUUUCAAGACAGUCACCUCUUAAGAGGUAGUAAGUGAUCUAAAUGUCACUGUGUUUGAAGUGCUUAUAGGUCAGUUUUCUUUUACUAUAGAAUCUUUAUUUCUAGCAUAUUUAUUUCAAAUAAAAAGACUAUUAUAGCCGUUCUUUACAA
Molecule: long non-coding RNA, 806 nt
Organism: Mastomys coucha (southern multimammate mouse)
Lineage: Eukaryota; Metazoa; Chordata; Mammalia; Rodentia; Muridae
Exons: 2
Source: RefSeq, a predicted model, not a curated record